This 209-nucleotide non-coding RNA is filed under the name Schleiferilactobacillus perolens. RNAcentral describes it as "Lactobacillus perolens T-box sequence". It matches the Rfam family "T-box leader". From Rfam's summary of the family: Uncharged tRNA acts as the effector for transcription antitermination of genes in the T-box leader family. T-boxes are found upstream of many aminoacyl-tRNA synthetase genes and some amino acid biosynthetic genes usually in Gram-positive bacteria. The record is from RNAcentral. Lineage: Bacteria; Bacillati; Bacillota; Bacilli; Lactobacillales; Lactobacillaceae.
CUAACGACAUUGAUGAAGAAUAGUCACCGGGCAUCGACAGAGAGAUUUCUGCAAUGGUGUGAGGAAAUCAACCGCUCGGCCAAUUCACUUCGGAGUCGGCAUCGUGAAACGACAGUAACGAUGUCCGGUCACAGACCGUUAUCUGGAUUAAGUGUUAUUUGUCGACAGAUAAAUAAAAUUAGGGUGGUACCGCGGAUCUCGUCCCUUUG